UGGGGAAUAUUGCACAAUGGGCGCAAGCCUGAUGCAGCCAUGCCGCGUGUGUGAAGAAGGCCUUCGGGUUGUAAAGCACUUUCAGCGAGGAGGAAGGUGGUGAACUUAAUACGUUCAUCAAUUGACGUUACUCGCAGAAGAAGCACCGGCUAACUCCGUGCCAGCAGCCGUGGUAAUACGGAGGGUGCAAGCGUUAAUCGGAAUUACUGGGCGUAAAGCGCACGCAGGCGGUUUGUUAAGUCAGAUGUGAAAUCCCCGGGCUCAACCUGGGAACUGCAUUUGAAACUGGCAAGCUAGAGUCUCGUAGAGGGGGGUAGAAUUCCAGGUGUAGCGGUGAAAUGCGUAGAGAUCUGGAGGAAUACCGGUGGCGAAGGCGGCCCCCCUGGACGAAGACUGACGCUCAGGUGCGAAAGCGUGGGGAGCAAACAGGAUUAGAUACCCUGGUAGUCCACGCUGUAAAACGAUGUCGAUUUUGGAGGUUGUGCCCCUUGAGGCGUGGNUUCCGGAGCUAACG
This 514-nucleotide ribosomal RNA is filed under the name uncultured bacterium. RNAcentral's name for it is "partial 16S ribosomal RNA". It matches the Rfam family "Bacterial small subunit ribosomal RNA", at positions 355 to 857 of the family's 1533-position model. The record is from RNAcentral.